AACGCGAAGAACCUUACCUGGGCUCGAACGGCUAGUGACAGAGGUGGAAACAUCUUUUUCCCGCAAGGGACACUAGUCGAGGUGCUGCAUGGCUGUCGUCAGCUCGUGUCGUGAGAUGUUGGGUUAAGUCCCGCAACGAGCGCAACCCUUAUCCCUAGUUGCCAUCGGGUCAAGCCGGGCACUCUAGUGAAACCGCCCCGGAUAACGGGGAGGAAGGUGGGGAUGACGUCAAGUCCUCAUGGCCUUUAUGUCCAGGGCUACACACGUGCUACAAUGGUCGGUACAAACCGUCGCAAACCCGCGAGGGGGAGCUAAUCGGAAAAAGCCGGCCUCAGUUCGGAUUGGAGUCUGCAACCCGACUCCAUGAAGCUGGAAUCGCUAGUAAUCGCGGAUCAGAACGCCGCGGUGAAUACGUUCCCGGGCCUUGUACACACCGCUCGCGA
RNAcentral lists this ribosomal RNA (443 nucleotides) under uncultured bacterium. Its description in RNAcentral is "bacterial SSU rRNA". It matches the Rfam family "Bacterial small subunit ribosomal RNA", at positions 958 to 1399 of the family's 1533-position model. The record is from RNAcentral.